Long non-coding RNA from Alligator mississippiensis (American alligator), 915 nucleotides. RefSeq lists it as uncharacterized. The transcript has 2 exons. Lineage: Eukaryota; Metazoa; Chordata; Crocodylia; Alligatoridae. The record is from RefSeq and is a predicted model, not a curated record.
AUCACUUGAUUGGAAUGAGUUACAAACUAUCUUCAGGACUCUGAAAUAGGAGCUUCCCAAGCAGCUAACAGCAAAAUUGCAGAACAGCUGUUAGCUUGACUGGUGGAACAUCAAGACAAUUAAAAAGAAGAAAGGAUUGUUAACACCUGUGGAAUAAAGAGUGUAGAAAGGAUCAGGUGGAUUAUAAUGAGCCAAGAAGUCAAUUGACUCCCUCAGCACUGCCUGACUAGAAAUGCUGCUGCCAUUGCCAGGAGCAGCAAGGUGCAGCAGGAAUCAAAGGGAGGUGCAAGUGCCACAGUGCACCCCCUUGGAUCUGCUCCUGUGCACAGGUGAGAAUUUGGUCCAUUGAGUAGAUAGCCUGUGCUGACCAAGCACCUUUCUUCCAGAUUAAGAGAACAAAACAAGAAAGAACAGAAGCAACGUUGCCAGGAGGGGGCACUGGGGAACAGUCAUCUCUUCUGUCUACAGUCUUCACUUCACUUCCCUUCUUCAAAUGGAUGCCUGAAGCUAUAGGCAAACAAUUCCUAUAGCACUAAAGAUCCAGUGCAUAGGAAAAUAAGCCCUAACAAAUAUAAGUUUCAGAAUGUAAAGCUCUUAGGUUGACGACCACCAGACCAAGAGCUAGCUUUGUCUGAACUUUAAUGGAGGGAACAGAUGCUUUUUAAACUAUUAAAAUCUUUCACAGCAGAUAAUUUCUUAACAGGGAGCUGCAUUGGGCAUGCUCUGUCUCUCCUUUCCACUGAAGGAAAGACAUGCGUUGCUAACAGUAGUAGGCAACAAAUAGCAUGAAGAGUGGAGAAGCAGCUUGAUAUGUGAAAAAGUAAGCUCCCUUUUAUGUGGCAGAGGAAACUUUCCAAGGCCUCAAAAUGCAUGUGAUGACAAGCAGAUAAAAAUCUUCCUUUUUAUAUACUGAAA